This 593-nucleotide ribosomal RNA is filed under the name uncultured Helotiales. RNAcentral's name for it is "eukaryotic LSU rRNA". The stretch from base 238 to 391 matches the Rfam family "5.8S ribosomal RNA". The record is from RNAcentral. Lineage: Eukaryota; Fungi; Ascomycota; Leotiomycetes; Helotiales.
CUUGGUCAUUUAGAGGAAGUAAAAGUCGUAACAAGGUCUCCGUAGGUGAACCUGCGGAGGGAUCAUUACAGAGUUCUCGCCCUCACGGGUAGAUCUCCCACCCACUGUUAUCAUUACUGUCGUUUCUUUGGCGGGCCGCCGGGCCCCCGGCCGCCGGCGCCUAGCUGCCGGCGCGCGCCCGCCAGAGGCCUUCAAACUCUGAAUGUUAGUGUCGUCUGAGUACUAUAUAAUAGUUAAAACUUUCAACAACGGAUCUCUUGGUUCUGGCAUCGAUGAAGAACGCAGCGAAAUGCGAUAAGUAAUGCGAAUUGCAGAAUUCAGUGAGUCAUCGAAUCUUUGAACGCACAUUGCGCCCUGUGGUAUUCCGCAGGGCAUGCCUGUUCGAGCGUCAUUUCAACCCUCAAGCUCUGCUUGGUGUUGGGCCCCGCCCCUGCGGCCGGCCCUAAAGUCAGUGGCGGCGCCGUCUGGCUCUAAGCGUAGUACAUCUCUCGCUCUAGGGUCCUGCGGUAGCUUGCCAGAACCCCAACUUCUAUGGUUGACCUCGGAUCAGGUAGGGAUACCCGCUGAACUUAAGCAUAUCAAUAAGCGGAGGA